This 800-nucleotide ribosomal RNA is filed under the name uncultured Gammaproteobacteria bacterium. RNAcentral's name for it is "bacterial SSU rRNA". It matches the Rfam family "Bacterial small subunit ribosomal RNA", at positions 78 to 878 of the family's 1533-position model. The record is from RNAcentral. Lineage: Bacteria; Pseudomonadati; Pseudomonadota; Gammaproteobacteria.
GCUUGCUAGAUAUGAUUAGUGGCGGACGGGUGAGUAACAUUUAGGAAUCUACCUAGUAGUGGGGGAUAGCUCGGGGAAACUCGAAUUAAUACCGCAUACGACCUACGGGUGAAAGGGGGCGCAAGCUCUUGCUAUUAGAUGAGCCUAAAUCAGAUUAGCUAGUUGGUGGGGUAAAGGCCCACCAAGGCGACGAUCUGUAACUGGUCUGAGAGGAUGAUCAGUCACACCGGAACUGAGACACGGUCCGGACUCCUACGGGAGGCAGCAGUGGGGAAUAUUGGACAAUGGGGGCAACCCUGAUCCAGCCAUGCCGCGUGUGUGAAGAAGGCCUUUUGGUUGUAAAGCACUUUAAGCAGGGAGGAGAGGCUAAUGGUUAAUACCCAUUAGAUUAGACGUUACCUGCAGAAUAAGCACCGGCUAACUCUGUGCCAGCAGCCGCGGUAAUACAGAGGGUGCGAGCGUUAAUCGGAAUUACUGGGCGUAAAGCGAGUGUAGGUGGCUCAUUAAGUCACAUGUGAAAUCCCCGGGCUUAACCUGGGAACUGCAUGUGAUACUGGUGGUGCUAGAAUAUGUGAGAGGGAAGUAGAAUUCCAGGUGUAGCGGUGAAAUGCGUAGAGAUCUGGAGGAAUACCGAUGGCGAAGGCAGCUUCCUGGCAUAAUAUUGACACUGAGAUUCGAAAGCGUGGGUAGCAAACAGGAUUAGAUACCCUGGUAGUCCACGCCGUAAACGAUGUCUACUAGCCGUUGGGGUCCUUGAGACUUUAGUGGCGCAGUUAACGCGAUAAGUAGACCGCCUGGGG